AGAGUUUGAUCAUGGCUCAGGAUGAACGCUAGCUACAGGCUUAACACAUGCAAGUCGAGGGGAAACGACAUCGAAAGCUUGCUUUUGAUGGGCGUCGACCGGCGCACGGGUGAGUAACGCGUAUCCAACCUGCCCUUUACUCCGGGAUAGUCUCCUGAAAGGGAGUUUAAUACCGGAUGUGUUUGUCUUUCCGCAUGGGAGCGACAAAUAAAGAUUAAUUGGUAAAGGAUGGGGAUGCGUCCCAUUAGCUUGUUGGCGGGGUAACGGCCACCAAGGCGACGAUGGGGUAGGGGUUCUGAGAGGAAGGUCCCCCGACAUUGGAACUGAGACACGGUCCAAAACUCCUACGGGAGGCA
RNAcentral lists this ribosomal RNA (356 nucleotides) under uncultured bacterium. Its description in RNAcentral is "bacterial SSU rRNA". It matches the Rfam family "Bacterial small subunit ribosomal RNA", at positions 8 to 350 of the family's 1533-position model. The record is from RNAcentral.